AUGUGUGAUACAGACACUACUUCAGUUAAUGUUAAUAAGUAUCGGAUGCGUGCUUUCAACACCUAUGUUAAGCAAUGUGGUCUUUUUGAUCUCGGAUAUAGCAGUCCGGCUUAUACUUGGACGAAUAAGCAAUUUUCUUCAAAUCCUGUGUUUCAAAGGCUAGAUCGAUGCCUUGUCAAUGCUGAAUGGUGUGGUCGGUUUCCCAACACUAAUGUUUUCAAUUUGCCUAUUAUUCUUAGUGACCAUGCUCCUAUUUUGGUAUCCACUGAAUCUCUAUUUCGUAGGCCGAAGCUCCAUUUUAAAUUCGAAAACUGGUGGACAUUUGAA
Molecule: ribosomal RNA, 327 nt
Filed under: Triticum aestivum (bread wheat)
Lineage: Eukaryota; Viridiplantae; Streptophyta; Magnoliopsida; Poales; Poaceae
Description: partial small subunit ribosomal RNA
Source: RNAcentral